Molecule: ribosomal RNA, 301 nt
Filed under: uncultured bacterium
Lineage: Bacteria
Description: partial 16S ribosomal RNA
Rfam family: Bacterial small subunit ribosomal RNA
Source: RNAcentral
CAGCAGCCACGGUAAUACGAAGGGUGCAAGCGUUACUCGGAAUUACUGGGCGUAAAGCGUGUGUAGGUGGUUGUUUAAGUCUGUCGUGAAAGCCCUGGGCUCAACCUGGGAAUUGCGAUGGAUACUGGGCGACUAGAGUGCGGUAGAGGAUAGUGGAAUUUCCGGUGUAGCAGUGAAAUGCGUAGAGAUCGGGAGGAACAUCAGUGGCGAAGGCGGCCAUCUGGGACAACACUGACGCUGAGGCACGAAAGCGUGGGGAGCAAACAGGAUUAGAUACCCGGGUAGUCCCUGUCUCUUAUAC